GACUCUCAGCAAUGGAUAUCUCGACUUUCGCAUUGAUGAAGAACGUAGUGAAAUGCGAUACUUGGUGUAAAUUGCAGAAUCCCGUGAACCAUCGAGUCUUUGAACAUAAGUUACGCCUAAAUCCAUUAGGUUGAGGGCACGUCUGCUUGGGCAUCU
Camellia sinensis is the source of this 156-nucleotide ribosomal RNA. RefSeq annotates it as 5.8S ribosomal RNA. The record is from RefSeq and is a predicted model, not a curated record. Lineage: Eukaryota; Viridiplantae; Streptophyta; Magnoliopsida; Ericales; Theaceae.